CCUACGGGGGGCAGCAGUGGGGAAUAUUGGACAAUGGGCGAAAGCCUGAUCCAGCCAUGCCGCGUGUGUGAAGAAGGCCUUCGGGUUGUAAAGCACUUUCAGUGGGGAAGAAAGCCUUGGGGCUAAUACCCUCGAGGAAGGACAUCACCCACAGAAGAAGCACCGGCUAACUCCGUGCCAGCAGCCGCGGUAAUACGGAGGGUGCGAGCGUUAAUCGGAAUUACUGGGCGAAAGCGCGCGUAGGCGGUCUGAUAAGCCGGUUGUGAAAGCCCCGGGCUCAACCUGGGAACGGCAUCCGGAACUGUCAGGCUAGAGUGCAGGAGAGGAAGGUAGAAUUCCCGGUGUAGCGGUGAAAUGCGUAGAGAUCGGGAGGAAUCCCAGUGGCGAAGGCGGCCUUCUGGACUGACACUGACGCUGAGGUGCGAAAGCGUGGGUAGCAAACAGGAUUAGAUACCCCUGUAGUC
Molecule: ribosomal RNA, 464 nt
Filed under: Vreelandella stevensii
Lineage: Bacteria; Pseudomonadati; Pseudomonadota; Gammaproteobacteria; Oceanospirillales; Halomonadaceae
Description: partial 16S ribosomal RNA
Rfam family: Bacterial small subunit ribosomal RNA
Source: RNAcentral